Molecule: non-coding RNA, 93 nt
Organism: Podarcis lilfordi (Lilford's wall lizard)
Lineage: Eukaryota; Metazoa; Chordata; Lepidosauria; Squamata; Lacertidae
Source: the annotation of a GenBank genome assembly
GUUCUGGCUCAGUGGAAGAGCAUCUGUUUUACAUGCAGAAGGUGCCAUGUUUAAUCCUGGAAAAAGCUCCUGGUUCAAAACCUUGGAGAGCCA